Arabidopsis thaliana (thale cress) is the source of this 401-nucleotide long non-coding RNA. RefSeq annotates it as other RNA. The transcript has a single exon. The record is from RefSeq. NCBI's taxonomy places the organism in Eukaryota, Viridiplantae, Streptophyta, Magnoliopsida, Brassicales, Brassicaceae.
AGGAGGUUCUCUCUUUUGAAUCCCAUCCGGAUAAACUACACGUUAUUCCUCUGAGUUGUCUCAUUGUAGCUCAUACGACUUGUUGUUGUAAAGGUUUAAAAAAGGGCUUGGAAAGUCCUACGUGACGCCAUGCAUGGUGGGUACAGUAACUAUGACAGUGAUCUUACAUCUUUAGACAGAACUCACAGAAGUGACCAUUACAUAGAGAAAAUGUGGAAGGAGCUAGAGAGCUUGGACCUGUUUUACAAGUUUAGAUGUCUGUUGUUUCCUCUGGGCAAGAAACAUUGGUUUUAAACUGUAGAAGUUUGGAAACCGGAUGCUUCGAUGGUGGCUGGUGUUUCCCUUCUUCUUCCUAAUUCCUUGGUCUUUGAAGACCCGCCUUUGGGUUGAUUUGGUUAUAU